CACGUAGGGUGCGAGCGUUGUCCGGAAUCAUUGGGCGUAAAGGGCGCGUAGGUGGCCCGGUCAGCGUGCGGUGAAAGCUCGGGGCUCAACCCCGAGUCGGCCGUGCGAACUGCUGGGCUUGAGCACUGUAGAGGCAGGCGGAAUUCCGGGUGUAGCGGUGGAAUGCGUAGAGAUCCGGAAGAACACCGGUGGCGAAGGCGGCCUGCUGGGCAGUGGCUGACACUGAGGCGCGACAGCGUGGGGAGCAAACAGG
RNAcentral lists this ribosomal RNA (253 nucleotides) under uncultured bacterium. RNAcentral describes it as "partial 16S ribosomal RNA". It matches the Rfam family "Bacterial small subunit ribosomal RNA", at positions 524 to 776 of the family's 1533-position model. The record is from RNAcentral.